UACAGAGGGUGCGAGCGUUAAUCGGAAUUACUGGGCGUAAAGCGUGCGUAGACGGUUAUUUAAGUCGGGUGUGAAAGCCCCGGGCUCAACCUGGGAAUUGCAUUCGAGACUGAAUAGCUAGGGUACGGUAGAGGGAAGUGGAAUUUCCGGUGUAGCGGUGAAAUGCGUAGAUAUCGGAAGGAACAUCAGUGGCGAAAGCGGCUUCCUGGACCAGUACCGACGUUCAGGCACGAAAGCGUGGGGAGCAAACGGG
RNAcentral lists this ribosomal RNA (253 nucleotides) under uncultured bacterium. Its description in RNAcentral is "partial 16S ribosomal RNA". It matches the Rfam family "Bacterial small subunit ribosomal RNA", at positions 524 to 776 of the family's 1533-position model. The record is from RNAcentral.